Bactrocera oleae (olive fruit fly) is the source of this 578-nucleotide non-coding RNA. The record is from RefSeq and is a predicted model, not a curated record. NCBI's taxonomy places the organism in Eukaryota, Metazoa, Arthropoda, Insecta, Diptera, Tephritidae.
UGCGCCGUAACUGCAAAGAGCUAUACGGAUGAGAUAUGUGUUAAAUUUAAAAACGAUAUAAAACUCCACUAUACUUGUAGUGCAAACUCGCUAACUAAAUAAGUAAAUGCUGGGCUGGGGCGAUAUAGCUAUGGAAACUUUAUGAGAUGGCAAAUGAAUGUUCAAAAAAAAAUGAAUUGAGUGAAAUAAAAAUGAAUAAAAUUUUGUGCAAUUACAAACCAUAAAUUAUACAGCUGCAAUUAUGUUUUGCAAGUCUGCAGGAAGAAAUUAAAAAUGUACUAAAACAAAAUAGAUACCAUAAAAACUAUUGUAAAGAAACUAUCCAGUGUGCCGGGUAAUUCUUCAUCGAUUAUUUCCAUAUCACCGCUGAAAUGAUUCAAUAGACGUCCUAUUGGCGUGAUAUCGAAGAAAUUGCAAACCGGUGCGCGCAUUAUAAAUUUAAGCAAAUCAUUGUGUAGGUCCUCGGCUGCCUUGAGUGUGCCAGAGUACAGCAGGACGACGGCGAAAUAAGCGAACAAGCCUAUGUUUCAACAGGCGUAGUUGCCAGCGUAUACACCAAUAAUAUGUUCAGGAGUGGG